This 253-nucleotide ribosomal RNA is filed under the name uncultured bacterium. RNAcentral describes it as "partial 16S ribosomal RNA". It matches the Rfam family "Bacterial small subunit ribosomal RNA", at positions 524 to 776 of the family's 1533-position model. The record is from RNAcentral.
UACGGAGGGCGGAAGCGUUGUUCGGAAUCAUUGGGCGUAAAGAGCGUGUAGGCGGUUUGGUAAGUCGGGUGUGAAAGCCCGGGGCCUAACCCCGGAGGGUCAUUCGAAACUGCCAAGCUAGAGUCCCGGAGAGGGUGGCGGAAUUCCCAGUGUAGAGGUGAAAUUCGUAGAUAUUGGGAAGAACACCGGCGGCGAAGGCGGCCACCUGGACGGUGACUGACGCUGAGACGCGAAAGCGUGGGGAGCAAACAGG